CCCUUAGAUGUUCGGGGCCGCACGCGCGCUACACUGACCAGUGCAACAAGCAUCCGUCCUUGGCCGACAGGCCCGGGCAAUCUUUGAACGCUGGUCGUGAUGGGGAUAGACUUUUGCAAUUUUUGGUCUUCAACGAGGAAUUCCUAGUAAACGCAAGUCAUCAACUUGCAUUGAUUACGUCCCUGCCCUUUGUACACACCGCCCGUCGCACCUACCGAUUGAAUGGUCCGGUGAAGCCUCCGGAUUGGCGCGCACCUCGGUGCCGCCGAGAAGUUGGCUAAACCUUACCAUUUAGAGGAAGGUGAAGUCGUAAC
Molecule: ribosomal RNA, 314 nt
Filed under: uncultured eukaryote
Lineage: Eukaryota
Description: partial 18S ribosomal RNA
Rfam family: Eukaryotic small subunit ribosomal RNA
Source: RNAcentral